Molecule: non-coding RNA, 89 nt
Filed under: unclassified sequences
Description: c-di-GMP sequence
Rfam family: c-di-GMP-II-GAG riboswitch aptamer
Source: Rfam by way of RNAcentral
CGGCGAUUGGACACUUUGACCCCCGGGUGCGGGCAGCAGCGGUCACCAGGUUCCGGGGCGAGUGAAUGGUGAGACCGGCCAAUCUGCCG